GCCCUCAGUGGCUCAGUAGCCAGUGUAGAUCCUGUCUUUGGUAAUCAGCAGCUACAUCUGGCUACUGGGUCUCUGGUGGCAUCA
This is a non-coding RNA of Mesocricetus auratus (golden hamster), 84 nucleotides long. The record is from Rfam. NCBI's taxonomy places the organism in Eukaryota, Metazoa, Chordata, Mammalia, Rodentia, Cricetidae.